This 403-nucleotide long non-coding RNA is filed under the name Brassica napus (rape). Its description in RNAcentral is "long non-coding RNA (BNAP_LNC016000)". Lineage: Eukaryota; Viridiplantae; Streptophyta; Magnoliopsida; Brassicales; Brassicaceae. The record is from RNAcentral.
UUGCAUUCGAGGAAAACUUGAAGGAUGUCUCUUGGUUGUUGGAGAAAUUCGGAUCGUUUUGGAUACAUUCAAGCUUUGUUGUUCCUUUGGAGAUGUCAAUAUUCUUCUGGUAGUUAAUUUCCAAUUUAUAUGUGUAUAAUUUGGUACAACUUAGGUAAACUUUGUUAAUUAUAUUUUUUGUGUAGCUUUUGGCAUUUUAGGCAAUUCCAGUCUUGAAUCAAGACUCUUGAUGAACCAUUACUGUGAAAAUGUGGAUAGUGCAAAGGCUAAUAGCCCGUAGAUGAGCAAGAUGAGGUAUAAAACCAAAGGUGGAACCAAGCAUUUCAAUAUCAAAGAAAAAAAUGGGAAACUUAUCACAACCAAGAUUAUAUAUCAUGUACGUGUAAAUUAAUUAUCACUAUGU